GACGAACGCUGGCGGCGUGCCUAACACAUGCAAGUCGAGCGGAGGUAAGCGGAUGGUAACUGAAGCUUACUUUAGCGGCGGACGGGUGAGUAACACGUGGGCAACCUGCCUCAAAGAGGGGGAUAACACCGAGAAAUCGGUGCUAAUACCGCAUAACAUACACACAUCGCAUGGUGAGUGUAUCAAAGGAGAAAUCCGCUUUGAGAUGGGCCCGCGGCUGAUUAGCUAGUUGGUGAGGUAAUGGCUCACCAAGGCAACGAUCAGUAGCCGACCUGAGAGGGUGACCGGCCACACUGGAACUGAGACACGGUCCAGACACCUACGGGAGGCUG
Molecule: ribosomal RNA, 332 nt
Filed under: uncultured Bacillota bacterium
Lineage: Bacteria; Bacillati; Bacillota
Description: bacterial SSU rRNA
Rfam family: Bacterial small subunit ribosomal RNA
Source: RNAcentral